This 253-nucleotide ribosomal RNA is filed under the name uncultured bacterium. RNAcentral's name for it is "partial 16S ribosomal RNA". It matches the Rfam family "Bacterial small subunit ribosomal RNA", at positions 524 to 776 of the family's 1533-position model. The record is from RNAcentral.
UACGUAGGGUGCGAGCGUUAAUCGGAAUUACUGGGCGUAAAGCGUGCGCAGGCGGUUUUGUAAGCCAGAUGUGAAAUCCCCGGGCUUAACCUGGGAAUGGCAUUUGGGACUGCAAGGCUUGAGUGCGGCAGAGGAGACUGGAAUUCCCGGUGUAGCAGUGAAAUGCGUAGAUAUCGGGAGGAAUACCGAUGGCGAAGGCAGGUCUCUGGGCUGACACUGAUGCUCAUGCACGAAAGCGUGGGGAGCAAACAGG